GGCUCAUGCUGAGAGAGCUUUCCUCUUGGGCCACCAAUUCCUAAUCCCAAAGAGGACAUUAAUCUCUCCAAAGUAGAUCCUAUGAAAUGCAGAGCUCAUUGCAGAUCCUGCUUUCUCUCAGUCUGACCUUCUCUUGCCUCAUUUUUAAAGAUAAACCAAUAACCAUGGGUCAUCUGGCAUUUAAAGGAGAACUUGCAACAUGAAAGAAGCAGAAAAAUACAGACACUGGCAUGAAGUGAAGAAAUAAUUCAAAGUAUACAAAAGCUGGAACGACAUUAUACCAGUCUCCCCAGGAAGGGCCAGAAGGCCAGAGUUUUUCAACUUUCACUUCCAUCACUAUUGAAGAAGUCCUUGAAAGAGCUAAGUCCUAAGAGCUAUUUGCUAGCUGUACUCGUGGCAUCUGGAACCAUAGGUCCUAAUACCUAAAGAACAUUUCCACAAACACAGGGUGGCCAUGUUUUAGGUUUCCUGUGGAGGGGGCCGAAGAAGGAAGCAAUACAGUAGGGAAAACUUAGAACCAAGAAUGAGGAGCACAAUGAAAAGAAAAUCCUGAUUACAAAGAAGAUAUUUUGACUUACAAUUAAGAAAAGUGUGUUUGGGCUAAGAAUGAAAUGAUGUAGUAACUCUUUGAGAGUUUUUAAUUUGUCCUACAAAGGAGAAAGCCAUGUAUAAGCCUUAUAGGGUCUGAAGAAACGGAUCAGCAGUGAAGAGCACUGGCUACUCUUGCAGAGGACCAAAGGUGUUUCCCAGCUUCCAUGGCAGGUGGCUCACAACUGCCUGUAACUCCAACUUCAGGGCAUCUGAUGACUUUUUCCGGCUCCUCAGGUGCUCUACACAGUUUCAGAUACAGACCUGCAGACACAUAUUAUAAAGCUCAAGAAUUAAGUAAUUUGGAUGAGACCAUGAAGAUGAAGAGAAUAAUAUUCAAGUGUAAAUGCUAAAUUCUCACUUUGCUGCACAGUUAGAAGUGACUUCUAUGCAAAAUUUAUCUUCUCUUGGACCUCAUGGGUGUCUCGAGGCAUCCUCCCAGAUCACGUGCCGCAGAGGCGGGGCCACGUACAGAUUGAGGCAAGAGUGAGCAAGGGUCCGAAGUCUCAGCUGAAGGGUGAAGAACAAAUGGUUUUUAAAGGCCAGCGGAAUCCUAAGGAGAGCCUUAGCCUCCUCCCUUAUUCCUUCCCAAUCCCUCUCUCCCUCCCUCAUCUCUGACCCUGCCCCUUUCCAAGUCCACUGAUAGGGGAGGUCCUCCUCCCCUUCCAAGGAACAGAUGUUCUUAAUGCUGGGAAACAGAUUUACAAUAGCACUGAAGUUGGAAAAUGUUGCUGCUCAAAUUUUGUUAUUCUCUUUUGGUUUCCGCCUUCCACCUUCCCGAUGGUGAGUGCUCUCUGUCACGAACAAUUCCACAUUUGGCUAAGGCUGAGGAUCUGGCUUGCUUCCAUGUAUGUGGACCUAUCUGCAUUGCCCACGUGGCACGCCUGGGUUGGCUACCCAGAGGCUAUUUAAGCUGUGGGCUGGCUUUCCCCAGGGUCCGAGGAUUGUUCAAGGUUCCUGAAUAAACUGCAUUGAAAAAAAAAAAAAAAAGAAUUUGUACCUAUGAUUAUUUUCACUUCUCUAAGAACUUUGAAAUCUUAUUAAGUUCUCCCACAACUAUACUUGUAUUCCCUGCCCUACUCUGUAAUUGCACCAAACCGAAUGCCAGCAUUAUUUAAAUUUUAUUUCUUUGUAUUUUAUGUUUUUGAGUAGUUUUUUUGACUGAAUGUCUGUGUAUCACAUAUAUGCAGUCCCCAUUGGGGCCAGAAGAUAAUUUUGGGUCCUCUAGAUCUGAAGGUACAGAUGUUUGUAAAUCUGUACAUGGGUUCUGGAAAGAAGUGAAAAGUGCUCUUAAGCACUGAGCCAUUUAUCUAACUACAGUCAACAUCUUAAUUUUUUAAAUUUAUAUUUAUUUUGCUUGUUUGUGUAUACAAGUGCAUGAAACUAUGUACUUGCAUGUACCAUGUGGAUGCCUAGUGUCCUCAGAGGCCAAAAGAAAGCACAAGACUGCCAAUAGCACGACUUUGGUGAGCCACCAAGUAGGAGCUGGAAACCAAAGCUGGAUCCUCUGUAACAGCAGAAAAUAUCCCUCCCUGCGGAACCAUCUGGCAGGCUCAUCAGAAUAAAAAAUUAAUUCUUUAAUCUAUGGGGAGAGAAUGUCUUUUCCUUUUAAUACUUUCUUUUUUUCAGUUUUUCUCAGGAAUAUUUUCAGUAUUUUGUAGCUUUUGUAAUAUUAAUUCCUGAGUGUUAUAUACUUUAAGUAAUUAAAAUUGUAUUAUUCUUUUUAAAGGUAAUUUCUACUAUGUAGAAAAAGUAAAUUACCCUUUGCUUUGUAACGCUGGUAACUGAACCCAAGAACUUGAGCAUGCUAGUGAAAUGCAUCGAUUGGAUUUUAAAUGUUAAAGCAUUGCUUGGGUAAUCCCUAACUGGUCAUAUGAUAGAAAAUCUUUCUAUGUAUGGUUGAACUCCAUUUUCUAAAAAAAUUAAUUCAUUUUCAAGAAGGAUGCUGGUAGGUUUUUUCCCUUUGUAAUUUUGUUUGUUUUUCUGUUUUUGUUGUUGUUAUUUUAAUUUCAAAAUACCAUUGGUCACAAAAAUUAGUAGGGAAAUAUUCGUUUCUUUAGUCACCCAGAGCCAUUGUACACUGAUACAGUACUUCCGUUUUACUUUUUAUCUUAUUAUCAAAAAGUUACUCACAAUAUUCUGCCAUCAUUUUGACAUUUUAGACUUUUAAAUACUG
Long non-coding RNA from Meriones unguiculatus (Mongolian gerbil), 2764 nucleotides. RefSeq lists it as uncharacterized. The transcript is spliced from 9 exons. The record is from RefSeq and is a predicted model, not a curated record. NCBI's taxonomy places the organism in Eukaryota, Metazoa, Chordata, Mammalia, Rodentia, Muridae.